Danio rerio (zebrafish) is the source of this 2037-nucleotide RNA transcript. It is a transcript of the gene named finTRIM family, member 52, pseudogene, with no coding region annotated. NCBI's taxonomy places the organism in Eukaryota, Metazoa, Chordata, Actinopteri, Cypriniformes, Danionidae. The record is from RefSeq and is marked validated.
GUGUAAAUACAGCGAAAUGGCAGAAGUUGGUUUUUCUCAAGACUAGUUCAUCUGUCCUGUAUGUCUGGAUCUACUAAAGGAUCCGGUGGCCAUUCCGUGUGGACACAGUUACUGUAUGAGCUGUGUUACAGAUUGCUGGGAUCAGGAGGACGAGAAGGGAGUCUACAGCUGCCCUCAAUGCAGACAAACAUUCAGUCCAAGACCUGCUUUAAAUAAAAACUCCAUUCUUGCUGAAUUAGUGGAGCAACUCCAGAAGACUAAACUCCAAGCUUCUGUUCCUGCUGGACUUGGAGAUGUGAAGUGUGACGUUUGCUCUGGAAGAAAACAAAAAGCUGUCAAGUCCUGCCUGGUGUGUCUGAACUCCUACUGUCAAAAUCACCUCCAGCAACACGAGAAUUUCUUCAAAGGUAAGAGGCACAAUCUGAUAGAUGCUACAGGACGACUCGAGGAGAUGAUCUGCCCAAAACACAAUAAAGCACUGGAAAUCUUCUGUCACACGGAUGAAGAGUGCAUUUGUUACCUGUGUACGAUGGACGAUCACAAAAACCACGAUACAGUCGCAGCUGAAGCAGAGAGGACAACGAAACAGGUGGUUUUGGAAGAAAGAAGGAUUAAGUUCCAGCAGAGAAUCCAUCAGAGAGAAAGAGACCUUGAGGAGCUCGAACAGGCUAUAGAGUCUCAUAAGCUUUCUGCGCAGAAAACAGUGGAGGACAGUGAACGGAUCUUCAAUGAGCUCAUCCUUUCUAUUGAGAAAGGGCGCUCUGAGGUGACACAACUGAUCAGAAAUCAGGAAGAGGCUGCAGUGAGUCAAGCUGAAGGAUUCAUGAAGGAACUGGAGCAGGAGAUUUGUGAUCUGAAGAGGAAAGAUGCUGAACUGGAGCAUCUUUCACACACAGAGGAUCACAUCGGUUUCCUAAAGAGUUUCCAGUCUCUUUCUGAACCUCCUGAAUCUACAGAUGUGCCUAACUUCAGCUCUAUGCAGCCUUUUGAUGACAUUGGAAGGUCUGUGUUUCAAAUGAAAGAAAAACUGGAGAAUUUCUGUAGAGAAGACAUUGACAAGAUGUCUGGCCGAGGGGCUCCGUCACAAACGGAAAAGGCACACAAUGAUGGAGAGAAGAAGAAAAGUGAUGAUGAAGCUCCUGACAACAAUGAGAUGCAUCCUGGUGAGGAGGACGAGGAGAUCCUGUUUAAGGAGAGAACCAGGUUGUACCACUGGGAUGACCAGUGGAAGGACCGUGGCUUUGGGAACAUCAAGAUCUUCUUCCACCCACUGAAGAAGCGCUACCACGUACUGAUGAGGCACGAGCAGUCGCUGAAGGUGUGUGCCAACCAUAGCAUCAGCAGGGGUAGCCAGCUCACCCCUAUGAACACAUCUGCCAACUCCCUUACCUGGACAGCCAUUGACUACUCCGAGGGUGAUGGGAAGACAAAGCAGCUGGCAGUGAAGUUUAGGACUGCUGAUCAGAUGAAGAGCUUCAAACGGGUGUUCAUGGACUGCCAGAGCCACGCGUUGCUGGUAGAGACACUGUCGCGAGACUCCAACCCCGUGGUGUUCUUCAGCAUAUCUGUGGAUGGAGAGAAUGCUGGGAGGAUCAUCAUGGAGCUGUUCGCUCACAUUGUGCCCAAGACAGCAGAGAACUUCCGCGCUCUGUGUACAGGAGAGAAAGGUUUCGGCUACAAAGGCUCCAUCUUCCAUAGGAUAGUCCCUGACUUCAUGUGUCAGGGCGGUGACAUCACCCAUCAGAACGGCCGUGGCGGACGCUCCAUCUAUGGGGAUUAUUUCGAGGAUGAGAGCUUUGAGGUGCGGCACACCGGGCCAGGCAUGCUGUCCAUGGCCAACUGCGGCAAAGAUACCAACAGCUCACGGUUCUUCAUCACACUGAAGAACACUGAGCACCUGGACUUCAUUCAUGUGGUGUUCGGCUUCAUCAGGGAGGGCAUGAAUGUGCUUAGGAGGAUUGGUGAGAUGGGCAGUAAAGAGGGCAAACCCACACACCGCAUUGUCAUCCAGGACAGUGGACAGCUGUGAGCCUAGGU